Molecule: ribosomal RNA, 406 nt
Filed under: uncultured bacterium
Lineage: Bacteria
Description: partial 16S ribosomal RNA
Rfam family: Bacterial small subunit ribosomal RNA
Source: RNAcentral
AUUGAACGCUGGCGGCAUGCCUAACACAUGCAAGUCGAACGAGUGGCGGACGGGUGAGUACUGUCUGGGAAACUGCCUGAUGGAGGGUGAUAACUACUGGAAACUGUCACCAAUACCGCCUACCAUCAGCUGUUCCCAGAUGGGAUUAGCUUGGGGGUGGGGUAACGGCUUACCAAGGCGACGAUCCCUAGUUGGUCUGAGAGGAUGACCAGCCACACGGGAACUGAGACACGGUCCAGACUCCUACGGGAGGCAGCAGUGGGGAAUAUUGGACAAUGGGCGAAAGCCUGAUGCAGCCAUGCCGCGUGUAUGAAGAAGGCCGUCGGGUUGUAAAGUACUUUAAGCGGGGAGGCGUUACCCGCAGAAGAAGCACCGGCUAACUACGUGCCAGCAGCCGCGGUAAUUC